CCACAGACAUAUAAGAGAAACAGACUGUACACAAAUUACACAAACACUUAGACAGUAAUAAGCAAUAUCUCCAUCUUGUUCUCACUCGUCUGAAUUUCAAAUACAUCUUUCUCUGUCUUUCAAUGUAGUAACACAGACACAUACAUAGACAAAACCAAAAUUGAAGCAAUCCGCCAUGUUGAUAGAUGAUGAUAGAAGACACAUGGCUUCCUAGCAAAAUCGAUUAAGUGAUUUUGUUUCUUAUAAAUAUUGAAUAUUAAUGUGUAAAUUGUGAAAAUAAGACGGAUUAAAUAUGGUAAAGUGCAAUGCCCCACUUUAUAGGAGUGCUACAUAUAAUAAAACACCUGACAUAACAUUUCAUAAAUUUCCAAAUGAUGUCCACUGGAGAAAUUCCUGGUUGGCAAAUAUGAAUAUGACAAAUUGGCAGCCCACAAAAUCUUGUGUUAUGUUCAAAAUAUUUUGAAAAUGAAUAAAGUAGUAAAUUGUUUGAUUUGUCAAUCAUUAAUGAUAGGCGUAAAAGAAAAUUUAUUGUGUUCAUUAAUAAACAAAAAGAUAGAGGAGGUUUGAUUUACCCAUCAGAUGGUCUGAUUAAAAUUAUUCAAUCAUGUAAGAAGGUUUCGCAGAUGAUUAAAGAAAAAUAUUAAUUAAAAUUCUAUGAUUUCAUAUGUUGGUGAUUAUUUAAAUUAUGACACAUUUGGUUCGCAAAAUAUGACUAUAAUAACUUGCAUUUAUUAAUUAGAAUUAUUAUUAAGUUUUACGUAGAUUUAAGGUGUAAAUACGAUGCAAAAAAAAAAAACUAACAACUGAACGAAAUUAUUAAAAAAAAAUUGUCUUAUUUAAAAAUAAAUAAUUCGUAAAUUCUUUUUGGUUUCAUUUAUAUUGUUCAACUCCAUCAUAGUUAUAAAUUAAUAGCUGUCCCGACUUACGUUGUCCCUAUUAACUAGGUAUAAGCUGGAAUAAAUAAAUCAUUACAUCCUAUAUCUACAACUAAAUUUAGACCUACAACAACACUUAUAACCUAUACCUACACCUUUUCCAAUAUUUCUCAUCAUUUAAAGUGUUAAUACUUUCCCCGCAAUUAUUUCAAAAUUUGUCAUCGCUGAAACCUUAUCUGUACUGAUAUGAUCAUUUUAGGACCAAAAUUAGUCAAACCGGUCCAGCCGUUCUCGAUUUUAGCCAGACAUUGGAAUUGCAAUCAAUUUUUUUUAUUAAGAUAAUCUGUGUUAUAAUUUUAUAAAUUGAUAAGUACUGAAUACGGCCCAGGAAUUGUUGAUGUGUGUGUAGAUGUGUUAGUGUUGUAUAGUUGCCACGGUUUUGUAGCUGUCACCUUCGGUCUGUUCCUCUUAUAUGUCUGUGG
This 1357-nucleotide unclassified non-coding RNA is filed under the name Melitaea cinxia (Glanville fritillary). Its description in RNAcentral is "misc RNA ENSMCXG00005010743.1". The record is from RNAcentral. Lineage: Eukaryota; Metazoa; Arthropoda; Insecta; Lepidoptera; Nymphalidae.